CCUACGGGCGACAGCAGUGAGGAAUAUUGGUCAAUGGACGAGAGUCUGAACCAGCCAAGUAGCGUGAAGGAUGACUGCCCUAUGGGUUGUAAACUUCUUUUAUAUGGGAAUAAAACGUUCCACGUGUGGGAUUUUGUAUGUACCAUAUGAAUAAGGAUCGGCUAACUCCGUGCCAGCAGCCGCGGUAAUACGGAGGAUCCGAGCGUUAUCCGGAUUUAUUGGGUUUAAAGGGAGAUUAGGUGGAUUGUUAAGUCAGUUGUGAAAGUUUGCGGCUCAACCGUAAAAUUGCAGUUGAAACUGGCAGUCUUGAGUACAGUAGAGGUGGGCGGAAUUCGUGGUGUAGCGGUGAAAUGCUUAGAUAUCACGAAGAACUCCGAUUGCGAAGGCAGUUCACUGGACUGCAACUGACACUGAGGCUCGAAAGUGUGGGUAUCAAACAGGAUUAGAUACCCCUGUAGUC
RNAcentral lists this ribosomal RNA (460 nucleotides) under uncultured bacterium. Its description in RNAcentral is "partial 16S ribosomal RNA". It matches the Rfam family "Bacterial small subunit ribosomal RNA", at positions 338 to 795 of the family's 1533-position model. The record is from RNAcentral.